CAAAGCUGGUCAAGUUAUGAUGUACUAUAGAGGUGGCCCAAAGUGCCACAAUCACUGACAAAAUAUGCUUGGAUGAAGCAAGGCUUGGUGUACACAAGGGACUCACCAUCCCCACCCCAGGCCCUGAGGGUCCUAGAAUUUGUACUGAUAUUUUGUUUGUGAUCUCAAAAUUAAAGAUUGCCUGAAGUUCAGAGUGCAGAGCUAAGCCACUAGUUAGCUAUAGAGGCCGGGCAGUGGAAGCCCACACCUUUCAUCUCAGUACUUGGGAGACUGAAGACAAAAGAUCAAUGUGAGUUCAAGGUCAUCCUGGGCUACAGGAGUUUUUCUAAAAGAGAAAUAGAGCUCACACAGAGGUGAUCCCAGCACAGUCAUUUUGGGAUCACAAGACAUUAAUCCCAGCACUAGGGAGGUGGAGGCAGGGUGAUGUGACUGGGUGGAGAAAGGAAUAUAAGGCAGGAGGAGACAGGAGCUCAGGGCAGUCUGAGGCAUUUUGAGAAGGCAUUCGGUCUGAGAAGUUAUAGACACAGGAUAUCCAUAAGGUCUGAGGAUUUCAUACAGCACCAUCUUCCUAGGUCUUCUCCAAUGGGAUUGAUUCUGCCAGUCGUUGUGGGGGCUGUAGCAGCAAUAUAUGUUUGGAAAAAGAUAAGAGGAAACAAACUGAAAAAAGGCGAUGCCACUCCUCAAGGAAAAGAUCCUGAUGGCAAACGAAGGACUGAAAGUAAAAGACAAUGUGAAAAGAAAUGCUGAAGGCUUGGAUCUCAUCAGUUGCUCUGAAAGGCUUCGAUUCUAUGACAGUUGACAGUGAUGGAGUUCACAAGGAAAGCCCCUCGUCUUUGACUUCUGAUUGGUGAAAAUUGUAACUGUAACUUUACAACAAAUGUUUGUGCUUCUAAAUAUUUGUGCUUUUAAACCCUGCUUCUUCCCCUGCUCAGGGCUGCCAGAAAAAGCAAGGCUCCUGAGUUCUUGUCCUGCAGCCCUGAUUGACCACUGGCCCGCUUAAAUGGUGAUUUAUUAAAGUCUUUGGA
Molecule: long non-coding RNA, 1025 nt
Organism: Alexandromys fortis (reed vole)
Lineage: Eukaryota; Metazoa; Chordata; Mammalia; Rodentia; Cricetidae
Exons: 3
Source: RefSeq, a predicted model, not a curated record